Molecule: ribosomal RNA, 390 nt
Filed under: Macropsobrycon xinguensis
Lineage: Eukaryota; Metazoa; Chordata; Actinopteri; Characiformes; Characidae
Description: partial 12S ribosomal RNA
Rfam family: Bacterial small subunit ribosomal RNA
Source: RNAcentral
GCUUAGCCUUAAACUUAGAUGUUUAUAUUACAAGAAACAUCCGCCAGGGUACUACAAGCGCUAGCUUAAAACCCAAAGGACUUGGCGGUGUCUCAGACCCCCCUAGAGGAGCCUGUCCUAGAACCGAUAAUCCACGUUAAACCUCACCACCCCUUGUUUCCCCCGCCUAUAUACCGCCGUCGCAAGCUUACCCUGCGAAGGGUUAACAGUAAGCACAAUGGGUAAACCCCAGAACGUCAGGUCGAGGUGUAGCUUAUGGGGUGGGAAGAGAUGGGCUACAUUUUCUGGACCAGAAUAUACGAAUAGCACUAUGAAACUAGUGACCUUGAAGGUGGAUUUAGAAGUAAAAAUCAAGCAGAGAGUCAUUUUGAACCAGGCUCUGAGACGCGU